RNAcentral lists this unclassified non-coding RNA (348 nucleotides) under soil metagenome. Its description in RNAcentral is "partial contains 5.8S ribosomal RNA, internal transcribed spacer 2, and large subunit ribosomal RNA". The stretch from base 1 to 120 matches the Rfam family "5.8S ribosomal RNA", at positions 35 to 154 of the family's 154-position model. The record is from RNAcentral.
GAUGAAGAACGUAUUGAAAUGCGAUACGUAAUGUGAAUUGCAGAAUUCAGUGAAUCAUCGAAUCUUUGAACGCACAUUGCGCCCGCCAGUAUUCUGGCGGGCAUGCCUGUCUGAGCGUCAUUUCAACCCUCAUGCCCCUAGGGCGUGGUGUUGGGGAUCGGCCAAAGCCCGCGAGGGACGGCCGGCCCCUAAAUCUAGUGGCGGACCCGUCGUGGCCUCCUCUGCGAAGUAGUGAUAUUCCGCAUCGGAGAGCGACGAGCCCCUGCCGUUAAACCCCCAACUUUCCAAGGUUGACCUCAGAUCAGGUAGGAAUACCCGCUGAACUUAAGCAUAUCAAUAAGCGGAGGA